CCAAGGGUUCCUGUCCAACGUUAAUCGGGGCAGGGUGAGUCGACCCCUAAGGCGAGGCCGAAAGGCGUAGUCGAUGGGAAACAGGUUAAUAUUCCUGUACUUGGUGUUACUGCGAAGGGGGGACGGAGAAGGCUAUGUUGGCCGGGCGACGGUUGUCCCGGUUUAAGCGUGUAGGCUGGUUUUCCAGGCAAAUCCGGAAAAUCAAGGCUGAGGCGUGAUGACGAGGCACUACGGUGCUGAAGCAACAAAUGCCCUGCUUCCAGGAAAAGCCUCUAAGCAUCAGGUAACAUCAAAUCGUACCCCAAACCGACACAGGUGGUCAGGUAGAGAAUACCAAGGCGCUUGAGAGAACUCGGGUGAAGGAACUAGGCAAAAUGGUGCCGUAACUUCGGGAGAAGGCACGCUGAUAUGUAGGUGAAGUCCCUUGCGGAUGGAGCUGAAAUCAGUCGAAGAUACCAGCUGGCUGCAACUGUUUAUUAAAAACACAGCACUGUGCAAACACGAAAGUGGACGUAUACGGUGUGACGCCUGCCCGGUGCCGGAAGGUUAAUUGAUGGGGUCAGCGCAAGCGAAGCUCUUGAUCGAAGCCCCGGUAAACGGCGGCCGUAACUAUAACGGUCCUAAGGUAGCGAAAUUCCUUGUCGGGUAAGUUCCGACCUGCACGAAUGGCGUAAUGAUGGCCAGGCUGUCUCCACCCGAGACUCAGUGAAAUUGAACUCGCUGUGAAGAUGCAGUGUACCCGCGGCAAGACGGAAAGACCCCGUGAACCUUUACUAUAGCUUGACACUGAACAUUGAGCCUUGAUGUGUAGGAUAGGUGGGAGGCUUUGAAGUGUGGACGCCAGUCUGCAUGGAGCCGGCCUUGAAAUACCACCCUUUAAUGUUUGAUGUUCUAACGUGGACCCGUGAUCCGGGUUGCGGACAGUGUCUGGUGGGUAGUUUGACUGGGGCGGUCUCCUCCUAAAGAGUAACGGAGGAGCACGAAGGUUGGCUAAUCCUGGUCGGACAUCAGGAGGUUAGUGCAAUGGCAUAAGCCAGCUUGACUGCGAGCGUGACGGCGCGAGCAGGUGCGAAAGCAGGUCAUAGUGAUCCGGUGGUUCUGAAUGGAAGGGCCAUCGCUCAACGGAUAAAAGGUACUCCGGGGAUAACAGGCUGAUACCGCCCAAGAGUUCAUAUCGACGGCGGUGUUUGGCACCUCGAUGUCGGCUCAUCACAUCCUGGGGCUGAAGUAGGUCCCAAGGGUAUGGCUGUUCGCCAUUUAAAGUGGUACGCGAGCUGGGUUUAGAACGUCGUGAGACAGUUCGGUCCCUAUCUGCCGUGGGCGCUGGAGAACUGAGGGGGGCUGCUCCUAGUACGAGAGGACCGGAGUGGACGCAUCACUGGUGUUCGGGUUGUCAUGCCAAUGGCACUGCCCGGUAGCUAAAUGCGGAAGAGAUAAGUGCUGAAAGCAUCUAAGCACGAAACUUGCCCCGAGAUGAGUUCUCCCUGACCCUUUAAGGGUCCUGAAGGAACGUUGAAGACGACGACGUUGAUAGGCCGGGUGUGUAAGCGCAGCGAUGCGUUGAGCUAACCGGUACUAAUGAACCGUGAG
RNAcentral lists this ribosomal RNA (1590 nucleotides) under Shigella sonnei. Its description in RNAcentral is "partial 23S ribosomal RNA". It matches the Rfam family "Bacterial large subunit ribosomal RNA", at positions 1345 to 2915 of the family's 2925-position model. Lineage: Bacteria; Pseudomonadati; Pseudomonadota; Gammaproteobacteria; Enterobacterales; Enterobacteriaceae. The record is from RNAcentral.